Molecule: long non-coding RNA, 552 nt
Organism: Camelus dromedarius (Arabian camel)
Lineage: Eukaryota; Metazoa; Chordata; Mammalia; Artiodactyla; Camelidae
Exons: 2
Source: RefSeq, a predicted model, not a curated record
CCUAGGCGUCUACGUCCCAGCGUGAGGGCGUCGCAGCCGGGAACCGGGAGCUGGGUGGAAGCGGAAAUGAGGAAGACGGGUAGCUGGAGUUGCGGCAGAGGGGAAUAACCCCCACCCCCAACCCCACUAGGCCAAACUCAGCUCGGAGCUAAGGAUGUACUGUGUGAGGUGUGAAGACGACCAGAGCCCACCCUCCUUCGCACCUUUGAAGAUGGAGGAGACCACAUGGCAAGCAAUGCAGGUGGUCUCUAUUUGCUAAAAGUGGCCCCUAGCUGAUGACCAGCAAGAAGAUAGAAACCACUGUCUUAUAACCAAAAGUAACUGAAUUCUGCUUAACCAUGUGAGCCCCCAGUCUUGUGGAAGAGGACUCCAAGCUUCAGAUAAGAACACAGUUCAACUGACAUCCUAAUUUCAGCAUCGUGAGAACCUUAAGAGAGAGCCCAAGCACCCAGUGCUUGGUCUUCUAACCUACAGACCUGUGAAAUACGUAAAUGUUUUAAACCACUAAAUUUGUGGUAAUUUGUUAUGCAGUAAUAAAAAACUAAAAAUGUC